CACUGUACUAAGCACCUGGGAGAGUAUAGUACAACAGAUUUUGUGCACAUGUUCCCGGUCCCCAAGAAACUUGACAUUUAAUGGUGUAAAUGACAACACCCCUGCAUGACUAGGAAUCCACAACCACUCUCCAUCAAUGGACUUUUCAUGGUUUCAGUGCAGGAAGAAAGAGUACUCUGAAUUCUCAGUGGGAGUCCUGGGUUCUAGUCAACUUCCACCUUGAAGCCAGCUUGCUUCCCUACUUCCUUCUCUCUCCAUCUGUUCAAUGGGAAGACUGACACCUCUUUUAACAAGCAACUUUCAACAAUGUUAUUAAGUGCACAUGGUGUAACAUAUGGAAGUGUUGGGAACACUUUGAGAGAGAGCUGCUCUGUAAA
Long non-coding RNA from Tachyglossus aculeatus (Australian echidna), 377 nucleotides. RefSeq lists it as uncharacterized. The record is from RefSeq and is a predicted model, not a curated record. NCBI's taxonomy places the organism in Eukaryota, Metazoa, Chordata, Mammalia, Monotremata, Tachyglossidae. The transcript has 3 exons.